RNA transcript from Panicum virgatum (switchgrass), 6324 nucleotides. It is a transcript of the gene named cyclin-dependent kinase G-1-like, with no coding region annotated. The record is from RefSeq and is a predicted model, not a curated record. Lineage: Eukaryota; Viridiplantae; Streptophyta; Magnoliopsida; Poales; Poaceae. The transcript has 9 exons.
ACCCAGGCCUUCAUUCCACCGCGGCACCGCCUCAUCCCGAUAAGCUUUCGCGCGGCGCGAACCAAAUCGCUCAAAUCAGAGUACCAGUUCUCCCAAUUGUCGAAUCCUAGCGUCCGUGAGGUUUGACUCUAUCCCCAAUUCGACCCUAGACCGCGCGAUUUUGUUCUAGGUCUGGUGUCUUGGUCAGGGGAUCUAGGGUUUAGCUGCGAAUUUCGCCGUGAAUUUUUGGGAUCCGGUUGAUUUGCCCGUUCCUGAGUGAUCCCUGCUUGUUUCCCAUGGCUGCGGCGCGGCACGCGAGCUACAGGAACCAUGACGUGGCGAGGGGGCGGGAGCUCGACCUGGAGCGCUCCAGGCGGAGCAAGGAGUAUCGCCAUCGCCACCCGAGCCGCGACCGCGACUCGGGCCGCCUCCGCGACGGCGGCCACAGCGGGGGCCGCGACAGCGGGCACCGUCGCCACCGCUCGCCGUAUCCGCCACCGAGAAGCCAGCCUUCAAGAAGGGGGAAUGAUCGGGAACCUGGCGAGGUCUCAAGCGGCAGCUGCUUAGAGGAGUCUGGUGGGCGCCCAUUGAAGGCUGGGGUACCGAUUGAGGAUGUUUUUCUGGGAGUUUGCAAGGACGGUAGUGUGUUACCACCAAGUAAGAAGAGGAAGCACUCACCUGUAUUCCUGGAUACCCAUGUCUCAAAGUUGCAGGCGAUAGAUGAUGUGAGGAGCAGGGGAGUGGUAGACACCGCAGCAGCGGAGUUCCCUUUGCCUUCACCACCUCCUUUAUCAGAUGAUAGUCCUAUGGCCACGGUUGGUGGGUGCUCAAGCCCAACAAAGCAUUUGGAUAUUUCGGUGGUUCUGCAUGUGGCUGAAUGUUGUCAUGAACAUGAGAAUAAUGGGGUUAUGCUGGGGGAAGAGGAGUGCCCAACAACGAGAAACAUCUUUACUUCAAGAUGGGCAGAAGCUGAUGAUGAGGUAGAAGUGAUUGUGCCCCAAAAGAAGAAAAGUGUCUCUCCUGCUAGCUUGUCUGAACAGGGAUCUAUAGAGGAAGUUACAAUCCCAGAGCUUGGAGAAGUGCUGCGGGUUCAAACAUCAAGAGGAAGCUCCUCAAGUUCGUCUAACUCCAUGGGUAGUGAAAACUGGAAUAUCCAGGUAGACAGGGGUGACUGCAUGGAUGUUGAGAAGGUGGAUGCCAUUGAUUCUUCUGUUGGUUAUACUGAUUUUGGGAGUGAUGCACGCAGGUCUAGAACACCUGAGGCUGUACGUCCACCACGGAGGUGCUUUAACAUGCUUCAGGACUGUAGGAGUAUUGAUGAGUUCGAGAGGCUCAACACAAUCAAUGAGGGUACGUAUGGAGUUGUUUUUAGGGUGAGGGACAAGAAAACUGGUGAGAUUGUUGCAUUGAAGAAGGUCAAGAUGGAUAAGGAACGUGAAGGUUUUCCAUUGACCUCUCUUAGGGAAAUAAAUAUCCUCUUAUCCUUUGACCACCCUUCAAUUGUGGAUGUCAAGGAAAUAGUUGUUGGUGGACAUGAUGAUGAUAUUUUCAUGGUGAUGAGUACAUGGAGCAUGACCUGAAGGGUGUCAUGGAGACGAUUAAGCAACCAUAUACCCAAAGUGAGGUCAAAUGUUUGAUGCUUCAGCUGCUAGAAGGCGUGAAGUAUCUUCAUGACAAUUGGGUACUGCACAGGGAUCUCAAGACAUCAAAUCUCCUCCUGAAUAACCGUGGUGAGUUGAAAAUAUGUGAUUUUGGACUCUCUCGUCAAUAUGGCAGCCCGCUAAAACCUUACACUCAACCAGUUGUGACUUUGUGGUAUAGGGCUCUGGAACUACCUUUAGGAGCAAAGGAGUAUUCUACUGCUAUUGAUAUGUGGUCAUUGGGUUGCAUAAUGGCAGAACUCUUAUCAAAAGAGCCACUCUUCACUGGGAAAAAUGAGAUAGGUCAACUUGAUAAGAUAUUUAGAAUACUUGGCACACCCAAUGAGGAACGGUGGCAUGGUUAUUCAAAAUUGCCCGGUGCCAAAUGCAAAUUUAUAAAGCAACGGUACAAUAGGUUAAGGGAUAAGUUUCCAGCUGUAUCCUUCACGGGAGGGUUGACCUUGUCAGAAGCUGGAUUUGACCUGCUAAAUAGGCUGUUGACAUAUGACCCUGAGAAGCGCAUAUCUGCGGAUGAUGUCUUGAAUCAUGAGUGGUUCCGCGAGGUUCCUCUGCCCAAAACAAAGGAUUUCAUGCCAACGUUUCCUGCUCUGAAUGAACAAGACAGGAGGAUCAAGAAAUACAUGAAGAGCCCUGAUCCACUGGUGGAGCAACAGAUGAAAGAACAAGGGAGCUCAGGAGAUCGUGGUCUUUUUGGCUGAUCUGAAACCAGAUCUGGGCUUGCUGCAGUAAUCCAGUUUCCAGUGUGAAUAAUUGUGAGUACACGUGGUCCACGUGCCAAGGUGAGGUGUCCCGGCGGACAUGAAAGUACCUGUCCACUUAGUGUGCGGUGACAGCUGAUUCUGUUUUAUAGCAGGCACGGGAUCAAAAGGGAAUAAAAAAUUUCAUUAUGGUUCAUUCAGCUACUAUUCAAAUGUCAGGCUUAAGUCUAUCAGAACUCAGGUCACAUUCUAAUCCACCAUCAUUAUAAGGCGUAGAUCCAGUUCACUUUCAAUUUCAUCUGAAGGUUGGGCUGAUUGGGUACACAAUUUCACCUCUGAAACUUCUCUGUGUAAAAUAUCAUAUAUCGUUGCCUUGUAAUCAGUAGUCAAUGAGAUAUUAUAGUGACAUCCUAUUUUAUUUUACUCUGUUCAAGUAGUUCAUCUUUCUUUUGGUCUUUCCAUUUUGUUUGCAAGAGUUGUACAAAGCGAAGGGGAGGGUGUGUUUGCUUUUCGCAAGGAAAUUGAUGCCCACUUAUCAUAAAUUGUAAGGUAAAAUACUGAGGAGCCUAUUCCCUCUGCUGAUGUGCUAUUGUAAAAAAUGUGAUUAAUCUGUCCCUUUCAUUUCUUAUUUUAAUUUUGUGAAAGACUGGGUUGUACUGAAUAGAGUUAUGAUCUACUAUGACACCCUCCGGUGGUGCUUUUAAAUUGUUAUCUUGAUCCUUGGUGCACCUGGUCUAAUAAAUAUAUAGCUUCCUCAUUUGCAAAGGUGCAAAUGUUUAUCUGACACGGGAAUUUCCUAUUUCCAAGAAUUAAUUACGGCAUUAGACAGUUUUGGAUCACUGCAAUUUCUAUGCAUCUUACAAACUAUUCAGUCUGGGUAUGGCAGCUAAGAGAUUUAGGUUUCCUUCAGCCUUUUGCAGUAGCCUAAAUGGCUUCAGAAUGUGGAAAUAGAGAUCUAUAUCUUUUGUUGGUUGCUUUCCUGAACACAGUGAUAUAACUAUGAUGGUUGGAGCUUGGCUACAGUUUACUGUCAUCUUCCCAAAAUGUUGACAGUUCUUUUGUUUGAUCUUCUUGGGCGUUCUUUUAAACAUGCCAUAAUUUUCUAAUGUUCUGUUUCUAAAAUGUACCUACACUGCUAAAUUAAAAAUUUGCAGAUGGCUUAAUAAUCCUUGCACCUGUGCUGAGAUCUUCAUUUCUGCGAGCUUAUCUGUUGCAACUUCAUUGCUUCAGCUUAAGCCACUUCUUCUCAGACACUAAGCCAUUUCUUGUGAGACACUACUGCAUUUGUGGAAUUGUGGUUAGCAUCCUUGCUGGAACUUGUCAAACUAGAUCUAACAGCUGUUGUUUGGGAAUGGUAUAUAUUUCGUUAGACCUGGUCCUGAUGAUUUUUGUUGCACAAUUAAUGUUCAAGCAAUGAUUAAUUCUUGAUGAACUUGUUAGAAAGUUUACUUAACUCACUGUGAACGUUAUGCGACACGUCUGCAGCUUAAAGCUGUGGCUGUAUCAAGACAAGAAGCUUUCUUGGAUGUCAGAUUAUUAUACUUGAACUGAAUUUGUCGCUGGGAAUUCAAAGGUCUCACCUAUUACUCUGAAUCCAAGGGAGUUCAGUCAGCUCCUUUGACUAUUUUGGUAACUCAUGACCUCUUCCUCAUUGCACUCCAGUUUUGUUUCAUGUGCUCAUCAUCACCAUCUUUUUAUCAUUCCUGCGUCCUGGAUCCAAUGGCAGUUCAUGUGGAAAAAAGUAUUUAAAUAAAAAUGCAGUAUAUUUAAUUUUCCAAGGGUCCAAUUCCCAAAAUAAACCCCCCCCAAAAGCUAGCAUACUUUGCUUUUGUCAAGGCUACAUUAGCUCUCCUAUCAGAAUCGAGAAAUCCUACAUUCCCACAAUGAUUGCAUCUAACUGUUCGAAAUAUUAUAGUCCUUUUCACCACCUUGAAGUGACUAAACAGUGUACUUUAUCAGAAAGAAACUCAUGGUUCUGAAAAUUUCCAAUUCUUUCUCGCAAAGCUGUUACUUGAGCUUGAUUCGAGUUAAGAUUUCCGUCUUCUGGUCCGAGCAUGCUGUAUUAAUUUUAAACCAAAAAUACACAAAGUAGUUUUAAGGAAACCCUGAAAACUUACAUGCUAUUUGAAACCUGAAAGGUUAGGUAUACUCCAAACAAGUCUGCAAACAGUAUAGGUCAGUAACAGUGUAACAGAACCCUCAACCAUAUAUUUUUUGAACUCUCAACUCUGGCCAGCGUGCUCUUCCAUACCAUCUUCAGCAUAAAUGAGUGGAUAAGUAAAUAGAUAAUACUAGGGCGAUGAAUGUCUAUGGAUCUUGGCAUUUAGACCUUCUAUAAUUUCCAUCAUAGAAGUUUUUAUCUGGAAACUGGACUAUGGAUGUACAAAAAUAAUUACCGGUAACAAACAUAAGGAAUAAUAUUAGGGAACAUGAUAUUCAAAUGAUCUUAUAUGGACGCCACACUGGGCUCUUCACCAUGAUUGUAGUUGCUUGUCAUCCCCAAUGAGCAUAACAUGUUUUAUCCCUCUAAUUGCAAGAGGGAUCAUUGAUUCACAUUUUUGUAGGUUUGCCUCAGGUUACUAGCCUAUCGUUUUAGCCUUUAGGGCUAGUGACUAAAAGUAAGGCCUGGCAUGCUAAGGAAAUUGAUGUUCCAAGCAUAAACUAUCUAGGACCAAAAGGUUAGGAUCAAAAGGUUCACUUCCCAUUUGCAUGGAGAUGGUAACCUACUUUUAAGUAAUUCUUCUGUUGUAUGGACAAAAAUUUAAAAACACAGCUUAUUAUUCUCAAGAAAGUUGGAGUAAUCUAGAUAAGAUCCAACAGAAGCCACUAACAAAGAGGAUACUUCUAUAUAAUUGUGGUAAUGAAUAUAGUUUAGUUAUCAGUGUCUUUUAUAUUGGCUGAAUUGUGAUGUUUUGUGAGAUCAUGUUUGCCUGAAACCUAACUGCUUUCAGUUGCCUGAAAACUUAGGACUCUAUAGUUGGUAUUACUGUUCAGUGCAUUGCAGGUAGUACUAUUGUUCAGGGCAUUGUAGUUGCUGGGAAUUAUGAUGUAAUGUAGCAAGAUCUAAUGUCUGAACCACAGGAUGUCUAUGAAGCUUGAUUUGUGGCAUCUCAUUUUGUUCAGUGAGUUUGUUUUUUUUUUUAAAAAUAAUAUACAUCUCCAAAUAUCCACUGCGGCUAAAUGCCAUCUCCAUUUCAUGGCUACCUAGGGCAUGACCGGUAGCAGGCAUGGCAGCCUGUUAGGACACCCAUGGAGAUGGCACAUUCAGGUCAGAUCAACUUAAAUUCCAGAAUGGUGGAGGGCUAUGGAUAGGUUAACUACGUGAUUACUAAUCACUAUUUCAAAAUAGAAUCUUAUAUUCACUUAAUUGAAAAGAUUCUUAUCUGUACAUUCAGUUAGAUGCUAUUCCUAUAUCAUAUUCAUGGUGGCAUAUUGUCAUCACGCAUCCUCCAAUAUCCUUCUAACUGUACUCUGAUUCAUGCUGAGUUCUAUAGAAGUUCAUGGCUAAAAAUGAUUUCUAAUUCAUUAAAUUCUCUAGGUGCACCUUUGGGAGCUAUUAUUUCUGUCUUCAACGAGUUAUUCUAGUUUCAUUAUGACUUUAUGGCUCGUUUAACUUGUUUUAACCUUUAUUUUGCUCAUUGUUUUGUGAGUGCAAACAAUGCUGUAAGGCACGAUUUUCAGGGUCCGGAGGUGCAAGGCUUAUAUUGAAUCUGACGAGUCGAGCCUGGUUUUCAAGAUGCUGCAGUUUGUUAGGCUCGUUUGAAUUUAUUUUAAGAAACAAACCAUGACGGAAAGAGCUCUCUAGAUUUCUGGUUGGGUUAAUUUUUGGCUUGAUGAUUAAUGGUGUGUACAGCCUUGAGAUCCUGUUUCUCUUCUAUGCAAGGUGACUUACAAUUUUGCUUGAAGAACCUCCUGUACUUGACAACUUGGCACUAAAUCGUCGAGUUCCAAAGUUUCAGUAAACAGUCUCAAAAGUUCUUUGAAUA